CAACGAUUAGGUGAUCGUGUUCCCUGACUCUCAUCGGCAGCAGGGCUCCUGGAAGUCCUGCUUCUCAUUACUACUGUGGACUGGAGCCUCCCCAGAGCUCCCUGGGGUCCUUGGCCUGGGUGAAGAUGGAUGAAGAUCAGAUCCAGCAGCUGUGGGUAGAGGAGGGUCCAGGAAGCAGGCACAAAGAGAGGUAAUUCAUCCACAUGGCAAAACAGAGCAUGAUCUGGGGAAGCUGGAGGCCUCCCAAACAGGGCCUCAACUGUCAGAACAUGUAAUAAACAUAACCAGCCAGAGGACUGAGGGGAGGCAGAAGGCACACAGUUAACCACUGCAGCAGAAAGUAGCAGAAAUGAAGGAUAUUGCAUUUGAGGAUACUGUGAGAGCUCUGUCAGAGGCUAUCAGAGAAGCUCCCUGCAUGACAGCAGAGUGGUCUAGACUGGACCCCAAGUCAGACCAGCCCAAAUGAGCAAGGUUUGCAGAAGGUGGUUUGUAUAAGAAGACCGAAACAGGGUGCAGCUCAGCGCUUGGGAAAGUUGCAAGGGGCUCUGAAGUGUGUUGUUUGAUUUACAUUUGUGGGGUUCCAUAAAUAGGCACUUCACAGAUGCAGACUCUCAAAAUUCUACCAAGAACCGCACAAUAUAGCUGACCACACUGGUCUGCACUUGAUAAGUGAGGAAAUAGAGGCUCAGAGAGCCAGAAUCACAUAUAUAAUUACUACCAGAGCUGGAAUUCCAAUUCAGGCUCAUCUAAUUUGAAAGCCCAUUCUCUUUACACCACACUUCACUAAGACCAAGUCAGCCCUGCCCCUGGGGAGAAAUUCCCUAAGCCUUUAGCAGAGAUCUUGAUAGUCCUAAUGUAUUAGCUUCUCUAAUACAUGUUUAUAAUUCUUGUUGUUGUUUGCUGCUGAUGUUGUUGGUUGUGUCUUAAGGGAAGGGCUAGGAGGGCUUACUGAGAACACUAUCACGUUCUUUCCAACUUUACAAUAGAAGAGGACUGUCUCAGAAGAGAAUCUGGGGCUCUUCUGGAUGUUGUGGGUUUCACCAUUGGAACUGAUGAUUCUCAUGCAAGAGAAGACCCUCCCUUCCACUGUGGGCACUAAACUGCAGUUCUCUAGACGUCUGGACAGGAAUUUCAGCACAUGCUGGAGGGCCGCUCCCACAGAACUUGUAUCUUUUACUUCAGCAGACUCCUGGCUGCCAGUUCUGUAUCUCUUUCUUUUUCUGGAACCACAGAAGAUCACAUUGUCCAAUGUGCCAGGCUAGAAAUACUAGGGGAUUAAGCUGCAGCUCCAUGUUGAGGUAACUGACUUAAUAGUACACCGUUUAGUGACUAUCUUCCUUCCUCUGUUUUUCUUCUUUUGUUUGUCUACCGUUGUCUGCAUGAACAAAAUAAUCCAUUUGUACCCAAAUAUUUAUAUCAGGCUCUACUUCUGGGAGGGCCAAAACUAAGACUAAGAGCCAUGGUUUCAUGUUUAACCAUGCGAUAAAACCUUGUUCUAUAAGAACAAUUGCUUUCAUUCUAGGGCCCCAUUCACAUAGCACGGAAAACAGUAACGAUGUAACUGUUCUGUAAUAUUUCUGUGCAGAGAAUAUGCAAAACAGUGUGGGCGAGGUUCUUUACCAAAACAAAACAGUGCAGACCAUGUGAUCUCUGGCUCUUUUACUGCAUAAUCUGGCUUUGGAGACAUUGCUACACAUUCAUGCUGAAUGUUCUUGCUCUCUCUCCUAUUUUCAUGCCACUGUGUCUUCAUGCAUAUCCCCACUUGGUUUUGACAAAUCUGGCCUCCUAAGCCUUAAAGCCAUUUCAUUAUUGCUGACACCAGUCCAUUGCUCAGACUCUAAUACCUCACUUUCUCUGGUUAUGUAGGGGAUUUUCUUAUGAUCCUGGAAGACAUCCUGGGAGAUAAAACCUCCGAAGUAUCUGGUUUCUAUUAGAAUCAAGUCUGUAGGAUUAGAAGUUUCUUAAUGCACAAUUAUAAAAUGCACAACACCAGAUGUAGUUGUCCAUAUCUUCUUUCAUAUUCCUCCUUUCCUAUUAUUGCUCAGCUAAAUGUUUCCAUGGGGAAGAAAAACACUUGAAUCUUAAAGUGAACUGUCAGCUGAUGUCCCUGAAGUACAUUCAUGAUAUUGUUCCCAAUGUCCACAUGUCUCUGGAGUCUGUAUCACAUCCUAGAAUCCAUUCUAUGCAACCUCAUUAACUGCAAAGGGCAUGGGACAAGUUAAAAGGGAUCCUGCCUGGCAGGUGAAGCAUGGUGUCUGUAAAACACGGUGAUGGCUACUAUGUCCAUUCAAGCUAGUGGGAUGUUUCAGAUGUAUCCUCUAAAGUGGAUAAACUAACAAUCCAGGUACUGGGAGUGUACCCAGGGGUUAUUCAGAAGUCCAGGCUAGCAGAUUACAUCAUAGAGUUGCAGAGGCUAGAAGGACUUUAGGGUUAGAGGUUGGGCUUGAGUCCUGGCAGCAGCUUAAUAAAAAGCAGUGGUUCUUCACCUGCAUCUGCAAAAGUGAAAUGAGGCCCAUGAAUGUCCUACAGUAUUAUAGAUAUUACAGAAAGAGAAUUACCACAAAACCACCCAGGCUACUAAUGACAACUUCCUUAUCUUUAUUUUGGAAAUGUGGCAGCUUAUCAUGCUCAUAUGUUCAGCAGAAACAUCAAAUAACAUUUACAUAACUUUUACUAGGAAAAAGCCAUGAUAAUGUAAUGAUAAACAUAAAUGCGGUUUAAGUAUUAUUUAUUCCUCCUGUAUCUCUCACUGGACAUAUGUUUCUCAAGGUCAAGUUUCUAUCUUAACUUUGCAUUCUCAGCACCCACCACAGGAAAUGUUAUGUAGUAGAUGCAGAUGAAAUACAGUAUUUGUUGAAUGAAAGUUAAACAAGAAACCAUUUGCAACCUCAGCACUUAACACAGUGUUCUAGUAGGCAAGCAUUUGUUGAAGGACUGAAUUAAGUAUACAAAAUAUUGCACAACAAAAGGACCUGGUUAGUAAAUAUAUUAAAAUGGAUUAUUAUAUAUGUUCUUAUGUCGCAUGAGCAGGAGUGGGACUAACCACCGGGAAACAAGGGAAGUGGAGUUUCAAUCUGAGGAAGAAUCUGUACAGUUACAGCUACUGAAUAGCAAAACAGAGAGGGGGCAGACACUUCUAUUUUCCCUAGCUCCCAAACGCUUCUCACCAUUAUCAUCCACUCACCACUACACUGAUUUCAAAUAUUUCACAGAGCAACCACUAAAUGGAAACAGAUAAUCACAGAUAAUCCUUAUUUUGCAAAUAUGGAAACAGAGAAAUUAAGCGAGCUGGCUCCUAUUGCUCUGUGAGGCUGAGAACUUGGAAUAAGUGUCAUCAUUGAUCAUUCCUCUUCCAGACCACCUAGUUUCUCAUUCAUGAUUAUAUUUCCCUAAAGGGUACACACUUGAGAGUACUUUUCGAAGACUUAGCUCCAAGGACAUUACUAACAUUAAUGUAAACUUCAUCAUAUAACCUGGGAAUAAAAAGCACAAUGGGAGAAAAUUAACUUCUGAGAGCUGGAGGUAAUAAGGAACAGUUGAAAGAGGGAGGAGACUAAAUUUUAUCCCCAGCUCUGGCAUUAACUAACUGUGGGGCAUUAUAGAUAAGUCCUAGAACCUCUCCAGACCUCAGUUUCCCCAUACCAAAAAUGAGGGAAUUGUGGAAGUUACUGUCUGUCAUAUGAUAUUGUGUGUCUCUUUAAGAUUCUGCAAAUUUAGGACACAUAAAAAUAUGAAGUCUUGGGAAUACUAUCCAAGAACCAUCAAGAGAGAAGGUAAGCCAAGUUCAUAAGACAAUUUAAUCCUCAGAAGCAAGACUCAGCCAAUAGCCAGACAGGCUGCGAUUCCCUUUGCUGUGUUUUCCUACUUUUGUGCCAAUCCCAAAAUGCUAAGUCAUUGCUUUUGCUAGAAGGAUAUUUUCUUAUUGCAUUCUGAGGAUUUGAACAAAUAUUUUCUUCUUGAGGAAAGCUUUCAGAACAUUUUCAAAUUGAAGGUUAGGCUUUCACGACAAAAGGAGCCUCCGCUCUGAAAAAUUUAACUCCCAGGUUUGGAUAGAUGCCGCACAUGGAAGAGAGAGAUCAGCAUCUGCUGGGCUACACUUUGUUUGACAUAGCCCUUUCUUUCCACCAAUACUGAAAUGGCUUUCAGCAAAGCCUGUGGGCACUGUGGUUUCCACAGCAGUCCUCUCAGGAGGGGCAGACACUGACAAAGCAUUUAGCUUCAGCCUUGUGACUGGUGACAUGCUGAAGCCAACCAGUUGGCUACCUACAUGGAAAACUAUGAGACUCACCUCCCCCCUUACCCUUGUUUUGUAGAGAUGCCUGCCUGAAAUUCCACUUCUGGGUCCUUAUCCCUUUCCUACAAUUAUGCAGCUUCUUUCAAUUGCAGAGAAGGGUCAGCCUGCAAAAACAACAGGUCCACAAACUAAAACGUUGCUUGCUAAUAAUUUUAUGAAUCAAUCCACAAGAAGUGGGCUCCUAUAAUUCCCUAUUAUUUAAAAGCAUUUAUUAUGCUUUUAAAUCACUUCUGAAUUUUUUUAUUUUUCUUGAUUCCAGUUAGUAGAUGGAAAAAAAUAUAUAAGCUCUAAGGUGGUAAAUGAUUAGAGUUUUUUCACACUGCUGAGUGAAGGGUGUCACAUUUAAUGCAGCUCUGCAUAAAACCAGGCUUCAAAGGUGGCUAAUCAUCUAGUUGUCAAUUCAUCAUUUAGGUAGCAGAGAAAAUAAGCUUCACAUUAAUGUGUAUUUACCCUUUAUAAAUAUUGGCAAACAUUAUCUCUUCUAAAAAUUCUUCUCUGAAUUCCCAGAAUGAAGAGUUUUUCUCUGACCUGUGUUCCCAGGGCAGCCUGAACUUUCCAUGGUCACUUACCAAAAUAUAUUAAAAUUGUGCCUCUGUCUCUCCAGUUGAGAGAGAACAGCCAUGUCUCACUCAGGACCCCGACUUCUGGAAUUUGAGGAAGGAAUCUUUUUUAGGGAGUAUUACCAAUGGAGCUUCAGCAACCAGGUAGGCACUGUGGUGGGCAUCACAAAUAUAAUAUCAUAUUUAAUGCUCACAACAAUCUUUUGAGCUACAUAUUUUGAAGAUGGGGAAAUCAUAGUUCAAGACGGGAAGUAAUUUUUCCAAUGUUCUACCAUGUGUAAAUUCCAGAGUCUGACAUCUUUAUUGAGUUUGGUCUUCAUGAUCUGUCAUGAUAAACUAUCCCAAUAUCAGUAAGUCAGAAAGUUCCUCAGGUAUAAAGUAAGAUUGAGACAUUUAUGCAAUCAGGGUAGCACAGAUUUUUACAGUUAUGUUGGUUUAUGUGGAAAUGUAAGGUGCUUAAAUAGAUGCUAGCAUAUUAGAACCUGUGGAAAAUUGGAACCUAAAUUAGAGGUGAAAGGUAGAUAUAGGAAAAGAUAUAGAAGACUAAGGUCAGCCAAGGUGUAAGUCAUAAGAGAAAUAAAAGAAAAUUAAUGUGUUUUUCCCCUAGGUACAUAGUGAGUAUCUUGAAUAUGUGAUGCUAAAUCUCAGUAACAUCAUAAUAAAAUAUGUAGCACAGCCAGCCAGAAAUUAUAUUAAGACAGCAUAUUAAAAAGGAUCCAAUAGUUCAAUAUCUAGAAUAUAGCCUCUGUGUACCAAAUCUUAUUUAACUAAUACCUCUUAAUUGGCAUUUAAGUUGUUUCCUAUUGAAUUUUUUAACUUGAG
This 5676-nucleotide long non-coding RNA is filed under the name Homo sapiens (human). Its description in RNAcentral is "PREDICTED lncRNA (TCONS_00017014)". The record is from RNAcentral. Lineage: Eukaryota; Metazoa; Chordata; Mammalia; Primates; Hominidae.